RNAcentral lists this ribosomal RNA (456 nucleotides) under Polybia sericea. RNAcentral's name for it is "partial large subunit ribosomal RNA". The stretch from base 331 to 456 matches the Rfam family "Bacterial large subunit ribosomal RNA", at positions 2473 to 2599 of the family's 2925-position model. The record is from RNAcentral. Lineage: Eukaryota; Metazoa; Arthropoda; Insecta; Hymenoptera; Vespidae.
AGUCGUUCUGCCCAUUGAAUUUAAAAGGCUGCGGUAUAUUAACUGUACAAAGGUAGCAAAAUCAAUAGUUUUUUAAUUGGAAACUUGAAUGAAAGAGUUGAUAAAAUAUAAAUUGUCUUAAUAAUUGAAUUUAAAUUGAAAGUAAAAAUGCUUUUAUUUUUUUAUUAGACGAUAAGACCCUAAGAAUUUUAUUAUUUAUUUUAUUUUGAUAAAAAAUUAAUUUUAAAUAAUUUUAUUGGGAGGAUAAUUAAAUUAAACUUUAAUUAAUAAUAAUAUUAAUAAAUAUAUUUAAUGAAUAUUUUAAAGAUUAUAAGGAUAAAUUACCUUAGGGAUAACAGCGUAAUAAUUUUGGAGAGUUCAUAUUGAUAAAAUUGUUUGCGACCUCGAUGUUGAAUUAAAAUAAAAAUUAAAUGAAGAUAUUUAAAUUUUUAGUCUGUUCGACUAUUAAAAUUUUAC